RNAcentral lists this ribosomal RNA (1108 nucleotides) under Bacillus sp. 672B5_12AMannit. Its description in RNAcentral is "bacterial SSU rRNA". It matches the Rfam family "Bacterial small subunit ribosomal RNA", at positions 53 to 1143 of the family's 1533-position model. Lineage: Bacteria; Bacillati; Bacillota; Bacilli; Caryophanales; Bacillaceae. The record is from RNAcentral.
ACAUGCAAGUCGAGCGGACCGACGGGAGCUUGCUCCCUUAGGUCAGCGGCGGACGGGUGAGUAACACGUGGGUAACCUGCCUGUAAGACUGGGAUAACUCCGGGAAACCGGGGCUAAUACCGGAUGCUUGAUUGAACCGCAUGGUUCAAUCAUAAAAGGUGGCUUUCAGCUACCACUUACAGAUGGACCCGCGGCGCAUUAGCUAGUUGGUGAGGUAACGGCUCACCAAGGCGACGAUGCGUAGCCGACCUGAGAGGGUGAUCGGCCACACUGGGACUGAGACACGGCCCAGACUCCUACGGGAGGCAGCAGUAGGGAAUCUUCCGCAAUGGACGAAAGUCUGACGGAGCAACGCCGCGUGAGUGAUGAAGGUUUUCGGAUCGUAAAACUCUGUUGUUAGGGAAGAACAAGUACCGUUCGAAUAGGGCGGUACCUUGACGGUACCUAACCAGAAAGCCACGGCUAACUACGUGCCAGCAGCCGCGGUAAUACGUAGGUGGCAAGCGUUGUCCGGAAUUAUUGGGCGUAAAGCGCGCGCAGGCGGUUUCUUAAGUCUGAUGUGAAAGCCCCCGGCUCAACCGGGGAGGGUCAUUGGAAACUGGGGAACUUGAGUGCAGAAGAGGAGAGUGGAAUUCCACGUGUAGCGGUGAAAUGCGUAGAGAUGUGGAGGAACACCAGUGGCGAAGGCGACUCUCUGGUCUGUAACUGACGCUGAGGCGCGAAAGCGUGGGGAGCGAACAGGAUUAGAUACCCUGGUAGUCCACGCCGUAAACGAUGAGUGCUAAGUGUUAGAGGGUUUCCGCCCUUUAGUGCUGCAGCAAACGCAUUAAGCACUCCGCCUGGGGAGUACGGUCGCAAGACUGAAACUCAAAGGAAUUGACGGGGGCCCGCACAAGCGGUGGAGCAUGUGGUUUAAUUCGAAGCAACGCGAAGAACCUUACCAGGUCUUGACAUCCUCUGACAACCCUAGAGAUAGGGCUUCCCCUUCGGGGGCAGAGUGACAGGUGGUGCAUGGUUGUCGUCAGCUCGUGUCGUGAGAUGUUGGGUUAAGUCCCGCAACGAGCGCAACCCUUGAUCUUAGUUGCCAGCAUUCAGUUGGGCACUCUAA